This 424-nucleotide ribosomal RNA is filed under the name Pealius liquidambari. RNAcentral describes it as "partial 16S ribosomal RNA". Lineage: Eukaryota; Metazoa; Arthropoda; Insecta; Hemiptera; Aleyrodidae. The record is from RNAcentral.
UUUUAGGUAAAUUCUGCUCAAUGAGUGAAAACUUAAAUUGCUGCAGUCAGCUGUACUAAGGUAGCAUAAUAAGUUGUUUUUUAAUUAAAAACUAGCAUGAAAGAAAAAAUGAAAAAUAAGCUAUUUUGAGUCUUAGAAAUAGAAUUUAAUACCUAAGUGAAAAAUCUUAAAUAAUAUAAAAAGACAAGAAGACCCUUUAGAAUUUUAUAGCCAACACACAGCCCUUUUGUGUGCUUGCUAUUAAAUUGGGGAGAUUGCAAAAAUUAAAUAACUUUUGUUUAAAACUUACACCGAUUAGUGAAACUAAGAGUUUAAUUAUCCUUGAAAAAGAAACCAAAACAAAUUACCUAAGGGAUAACAGCGUAAAAUUUUUAAAAAGAUCACAUUUACAAAAUAAUUUACGACCUCGAUGUUGGAUUAAGCA